Molecule: ribosomal RNA, 492 nt
Filed under: uncultured bacterium
Lineage: Bacteria
Description: partial 16S ribosomal RNA
Rfam family: Bacterial small subunit ribosomal RNA
Source: RNAcentral
AGUGAACGCUGGCGGUAGGCCUAACACAUGCAAGUCGAACGGCAGCACAGAAAGAGCUUGCUCUUACGGGUGGCGAGUGGCGGACGGGUGAGGAAUACAUCGGAACCUACCUUUUCGUGGGGGAAAACGUAGGGAAACGUACGCUAAUACUGCAUACGACCUACGGGUGAAAGCAGGGGAUCUUCGGACCUUGCGCGAUUGAAUGAGGGGAUGUCGGAUUAGCUAGUUGGCGGGGGAAAGGCCCACCACGGCGACGAUCCGUAGCUGGUCUGAGAGGAUGAUCAGCCACACUGGAACUGAGACACGGUCCAGACUCCUACGGGAGGCAGCAGUGGGGAAUAUUGGACAAAGGGCGCAAGCCUGAUCCAGCCAUACCGCGUGGGUGAAGAAGGCCUUCGGGUUGUAAAGCCCUUUUGUUGGGAAAGAAAAGCAGCAGGUUAAUACCCCGCUGUUCUGACGGUACCCAAAGGAUAAGCACCGGCUAACUUCGUG